Molecule: ribosomal RNA, 499 nt
Filed under: uncultured Glomeromycotina
Lineage: Eukaryota; Fungi; Glomeromycota
Description: partial small subunit ribosomal RNA
Rfam family: Eukaryotic small subunit ribosomal RNA
Source: RNAcentral
CCAAUAGCGUAUAUUAAAGUUGUUGCAGUUAAAAAGCUCGUAGUUGAAUUUCGAGACCGGUUUACUGGUCGUGCUUUUGUACGUACUGGUAUUAUUGGUUUCUCCUUUCUGACGAAUCUUAAUGCCAUUAAUUUGGUGUUUUGGGGAAUCAGGACUGUUACUUUGAAAAAAUUAGAGUGUUUAAAGCAGGCUCACGCUUGAAUACAUUAGCAUGGAAUAACGAAAUAGGACGUUUGAUUUUAUUUUGUUGGUUUCUAGGAUCGACGUAAUGAUUAAUAGGGAUAGUUGGGGGCAUUAGUAUUCAAUUGUCAGAGGUGAAAUUCUUGAAUUUAUUGAAGACUAACUACUGCGAAAGCAUUUGCCAAGGAUGUUUUCAUUAAUCAAGAACGAAAGUUAGGGGAUCGAAGACGAUCAGAUACCGUCGUAGUCUUAACCAUAAACUAUGCCGACUAGGGAUCGGAUGAUGUUAAUUUUUUAAUGACUCAUUCGGCGCCUUACG